CGGGGAGUAGCGCAGUUUGGCUAGCGCGUCUGAAUGGGGUUCAGAAGGUCGUGGGUUCAAGUCCCACCUCCCCGA
RNAcentral lists this transfer RNA (75 nucleotides) under Candidatus Omnitrophota bacterium. Its description in RNAcentral is "Candidatus Omnitrophica bacterium tRNA-Pro". It matches the Rfam family "tRNA". From Rfam's summary of the family: Transfer RNA (tRNA) molecules are approximately 80 nucleotides in length. Their secondary structure includes four short double-helical elements and three loops (D, anti-codon, and T loops). Further hydrogen bonds mediate the characteristic L-shaped molecular structure. tRNAs have two regions of fundamental functional importance: the anti-codon, which is responsible for specific mRNA codon recognition, and the 3' end, to which the tRNAs corresponding amino acid is attached (by aminoacyl-tRNA synthetases). tRNAs cope with the degeneracy of the genetic code in two manners: having more than one tRNA (with a specific anti-codon) for a particular amino acid; and 'wobble' base-pairing, i.e. permitting non-standard base-pairing at the 3rd anti-codon position. The record is from RNAcentral. Lineage: Bacteria; Pseudomonadati; Candidatus Omnitrophota.